This 301-nucleotide ribosomal RNA is filed under the name uncultured bacterium. RNAcentral describes it as "partial 16S ribosomal RNA". It matches the Rfam family "Bacterial small subunit ribosomal RNA", at positions 509 to 809 of the family's 1533-position model. The record is from RNAcentral.
CAGUCGCCGCGGGAAUACGGAGGAUCCGAGCGUUAUCCGGAAUUAUUGGGUUUAGAGGGUGCGUAGGCGGAUAGAUAAGUCAGUGGUGAAAGACGGUGGCUCAACCAUCGCAGUGCCGUUGAUACUGUUUAUCUUGAAUAUGGAUGAGGUAGGCGGAAUGUGGCAAGUAGCGGUGAAAUGCAUAGAUAUGCCACAGAACACCGAUUGCGAAGGCAGCUUACCAAGGCAAAAUUGACGCUGAGGCACGAAAGCGUGGGGAUCGAACAGGAUUAGAUACCCCCGUAGUCCCUGUCUCUUAUAA